AACGAACGCUGGCGGCAUGCCUAACACAUGCAAGUCGAACGAGACCUUCGGGUCUAGUGGCGCACGGGUGCGUAACGCGUGGGGACCUGCCCUUAGGUUCGGAAUAACUCCCCGAAAGGGGUGCUAAUACCGGAUAAUGUCUUCGGACCAAAGAUUUAUCGCCUUUGGAUGGGCCCGCGUUGGAUUAGCUAGUUGGUAGGGUAAAAGCCUACCAAGGCGACGAUCCAUAGCUGGUCUGAGAGGAUGAUCAGCCACACUGGGACUGAGACACGGCCCAGACUCCUACGGGAGGCAGCAGUGGGGAAUAUUGGACAAUGGGCGAAAGCCUGAUCCAGCAAUGCCGCGGGAGUGAUGAAGGCCUUAGGGUUGUAAAGCUCUUUUACCCGGGAUGAUAAUGACAGUACCGGGAGAAUAAGCUCCGGCUAACUCCGU
Molecule: ribosomal RNA, 432 nt
Filed under: uncultured bacterium
Lineage: Bacteria
Description: partial 16S ribosomal RNA
Rfam family: Bacterial small subunit ribosomal RNA
Source: RNAcentral